UUCCAGCAGCCGCGGUAAUACGGAGGGUGCAAGCGUUGUUCGGAAUUAUUGGGCGUAAAGCGCGUGUAGGCGGCUAGGAAAGUCGGAUGUGAAAGCCCGGGGCCCAACCCCGGAACUGCAUUCGAAACUUCCUGGCUAGAGUCUCGGAGAGGAGAGCGGAAUUCCCGGUGUAGAGGUGAAAUUCGUAGAUAUCGGGAGGAACACCAGCGGCGAAGGCGGCUCUCUGGACGAUGACUGACGCUGAGACGCGAAAGCGUGGGGAGCAAAUAGGAUUAGAUAC
This 280-nucleotide ribosomal RNA is filed under the name uncultured bacterium. Its description in RNAcentral is "partial 16S ribosomal RNA". It matches the Rfam family "Bacterial small subunit ribosomal RNA", at positions 506 to 785 of the family's 1533-position model. The record is from RNAcentral.